CUACACCCAUUUGAUGUGCUUCUUAGUCUCGUUUAACUUGCCGAUUCAUAUAUCCCUGUCUCAUUUGUUCUUAGAUUUGUCACGAAGCCUCUGGUUUUUGGCUUGUCCUGGUUUGAACUUGGUGUAUCUGGCUCUUGACUCAUUUUCUGACCUCAGACCAUCCUUAAAUCUGCUUUUCUACUUUGUACCAGGCUUUGGCGUCUCCAAGUACCUGACCUCAGCUCAACCUGUCUUGGGUUUUCUUCUCCUCCCUGACAUUGACAACCCAGCCCUCCUAGGCACAGAGAGAUGGAGCUGAGUGUGGUUUUCCUGAAAUAAAGCUUGCAUUAUGAGAGGGAAUAAACAGAAGAAAAAAAUAGUAAGUAAAAUCUUGCUUGCCUCUCAGUAAAAUAAAGCUCUAUUUUUCGUUUUUUUUUUUUCCAAC
This is a long non-coding RNA of Homo sapiens (human), 424 nucleotides long. The record is from Ensembl. Lineage: Eukaryota; Metazoa; Chordata; Mammalia; Primates; Hominidae.